GGCACAUGACCGGGGUGCCGGCGCCGCCAGUGAGCGUCCGGCUGAGAUAACACCCGUCGAACCUGAUCCGGUUUGCACCGGCGUAGGGAGUCCAACGUGUCUCGUC
This 106-nucleotide non-coding RNA is filed under the name Gemmatimonas phototrophica. RNAcentral describes it as "TPP sequence". It matches the Rfam family "TPP riboswitch aptamer (THI element)". Rfam says of the family: Vitamin B(1) in its active form thiamin pyrophosphate (TPP) is an essential coenzyme that is synthesised by coupling of pyrimidine and thiazole moieties in bacteria. The previously detected thiamin-regulatory element, thi box was extended, resulting in a new, highly conserved RNA secondary structure, the THI element, which is widely distributed in eubacteria and also occurs in some archaea. Lineage: Bacteria; Pseudomonadati; Gemmatimonadota; Gemmatimonadia; Gemmatimonadales; Gemmatimonadaceae. The record is from Rfam by way of RNAcentral.